Molecule: ribosomal RNA, 468 nt
Filed under: uncultured bacterium
Lineage: Bacteria
Description: partial 16S ribosomal RNA
Rfam family: Bacterial small subunit ribosomal RNA
Source: RNAcentral
GACGAACGCUGGCGGCGUGCUUAACACAUGCAAGUCGAACGGAAAGGCCCUGCUUUUGUGGGGUGCUCGAGUGGCGAACGGGUGAGUAACACGUGAGUAACCUGCCCUUGACUUUGGGAUAACUUCAGGAAACUGGGGCUAAUACCGGAUAUGAGCUCCUGCUGCAUGGUGGGGGUUGGAAAGUUUCGGCGGUUGGGGAUGGACUCGCGGCUUAUCAGCUUGUUGGUGGGGUAGUGGCUUACCAAGGCUUUGACGGGUAGCCGGCCUGAGAGGGUGACCGGCCACAUUGGGACUGAGAUACGGCCCAGACUCCUACGGGAGGCAGCAGUGGGGAAUAUUGCACAAUGGGCGGAAGCCUGAUGCAGCAACGCCGCGUGCGGGAUGACGGCCUUCGGGUUGUAAACCGCUUCCGCCUGUGACGAAGCGUGAGUGACGGUAAUGGGUAAAGAAGCACCGGCUAACUACGUG